AUAAUGGCUGGCUCUCAGUGUUUAUUUUGCUGAUAUAUUUUUUCUCUUUCUGGUACCAGGGAUGGAACUCAGGACCUUGUGCUUGCUAGGCACGCAUGGCACCACUGAGCUAAAUCCCCAGCCCUAUUUUUUUUUGAGGUUUUUAAUCCAUUUUGCUGCUACUUAAACAGAAUCCUUUCUACCUCAUUAUUUUUCUUAUACACAAGAUGACUAAUAAUUUUUGCACAAAAGUUAUGUACCAGGAGUUCACAGCUAAGAGUUUGCCUUGAGCCUCAGAAGAGACUUUGGACUUGGAGUAUUCAGCACUGCUAAAACUGUUAAAAUUUUAACAAUUCUUAGAGGGAUGGACUAAAUGUAUUUUGCAUAAUGAGAUAUGAUUGUGCAGCCCUUAUAUGAAGACCUAGACCGAAAGAAAUCAGAAUGUGAGGCCUGAGAAGACUUUCCCAAGGUUGGCUAUAUGAGGGGUGGGCGCUGCCUGUCUCAGGAGACGUCCUUGGUACCAGCAUCUUUUUCUUCAGACCUGCCAUCUGUUCCAGUGAAUAAUUCUACCAACCACGUUUUCCAUGAUUUGCCUCAUUAUGUCUCCACGUCCUUUACACACAUAGAACAUGAUGUCUGGCACACUGAAUAAGCUGUGUUGUAUCAGGGAGACUAUGGUAAUGACUAGGUCCAUUUUGAGGGUGAGUAUUCUUUUCAAGGGCCCAUCAAGCAAAGGAAUAGCUAUGAAUUGAUAUAUUCAUUUCUUCAGGAAAGGGAGUACUAUCAAAAGGAGACAAAUUCACACUCAUUACUUUUGUGUUUAUUCUGUUACUUCAGCUUUUGAAUUUGUCCUCAAAAGCAUAAGAAAGG
Molecule: long non-coding RNA, 849 nt
Filed under: Heterocephalus glaber (naked mole-rat)
Lineage: Eukaryota; Metazoa; Chordata; Mammalia; Rodentia; Bathyergidae
Description: lncRNA (ENSHGLG00000041644.1)
Source: RNAcentral